This 1050-nucleotide ribosomal RNA is filed under the name Lentilactobacillus buchneri. Its description in RNAcentral is "Lactobacillus buchneri partial 23S ribosomal RNA". It matches the Rfam family "Bacterial large subunit ribosomal RNA", at positions 1258 to 2314 of the family's 2925-position model. Lineage: Bacteria; Bacillati; Bacillota; Bacilli; Lactobacillales; Lactobacillaceae. The record is from RNAcentral.
AGACCGUAAGGACUGGUGGAGCGCUUAGAAGUGAGAAUGCCGGUAUGAGUAGCGAAAGAUCAGUGAGAAUCUGAUCCACCGAAUGACUAAGGUUUCCUGGGGAAGGCUCGUCCUCCCAGGGUUAGUCGGGACCUAAGCCGAGGCCGAAAGGCGUAGGCGAUGGAUAACAGGUUGAGAUUCCUGUACUAGUUGAUGAUGUUUGAGCGAUGGAGGGACGCAGGAGGCUAAGUUGUGCAUCCAGUUGGAAAGGGAUGUUCAAGCCACAAGUCAGUCAAAGAGUCAAAUGCUUUUUGGCGGGUUGACAAGUGGUGAUGAGGACCGAAAUUUAAGUAGGGAAGCAACCAACGUCACACUGCCGAGAAAAGCUUCUAGUGAGUCAUCAACUACCCGUACCGCAAACCGACACAGGUAGUCGAGGAGAGAAUCCUCAGGUGAGCGAGUGAACUCUCGUUAAGGAACUCGGCAAAAUGACCCCGUAACUUCGGGAGAAGGGGUGCUGUGCGCAAGCACAGCCGCAGUGAAAAGGCCCAGGCGACUGUUUAUCAAAAACACAGGUUUCUGCAAAAUCGUAAGAUGACGUAUAGGGGCUGACGCCUGCCCGGUGCUGGAAGGUUAAGUGGAUGAGUUAGCUUCGGCGAAGCCCAGAAAUGAAGCCCCAGUAAACGGCGGCCGUAACUAUAACGGUCCUAAGGUAGCGAAAUUCCUUGUCGGGUAAGUUCCGACCCGCACGAAAGGCGUAACGAUCUGGGCACUGUCUCAACGAGAGACUCGGUGAAAUUAAGAUACCUGUGAAGAAGCAGGUUACCCGCGACAGGACGGAAAGACCCCAUGGAGCUUUACUGUAGCUUGAUAUUGGGUGUUGACACAGCUUGUACAGGAUAGGUAGGAGCCAUUGAAGCCGGAACGCUAGUUUCGGCAGAGGCGUUGGUGGGAUACUACCCUCGCUGUGUGAACACUCUAACCCGCGCCACUUAGCGUGGCGGGAGACAGUGUCAGGUAGGCAGUUUGACUGGGGCGGUCGCCUCCCAAACAGUAACGGAGGCGCCCAAA